GAUGAACCCUAGCUCUAAAUACCCACCUUCGAUCACUUCCACUUCCUUCACUCGCUGUUCAUUGUCGAUCUUCACGAACUUCUCUCUUUGGAACUGCGGGCCAGGCAUUCCGGGAGGAUAUGUGACAUAGAGAACAGUGCCCACUCCGCCAUUGCCUUCUUCAACCUUGAUUUUGCCAGCCAUGUUUGGAAGAAGUUCGGCGAUCAGCUCGGGGAGUCGAACCGAGCCGUACACUACCCACACAUCGCUGGCCGGCAAGUCUGCCUCAAGCUCAUGAGAGAGGCUUCCCU
This 290-nucleotide unclassified non-coding RNA is filed under the name Hevea brasiliensis (rubber tree). The record is from RNAcentral. Lineage: Eukaryota; Viridiplantae; Streptophyta; Magnoliopsida; Malpighiales; Euphorbiaceae.